RNAcentral lists this ribosomal RNA (410 nucleotides) under uncultured Marmoricola sp. RNAcentral's name for it is "bacterial SSU rRNA". It matches the Rfam family "Bacterial small subunit ribosomal RNA", at positions 354 to 776 of the family's 1533-position model. Lineage: Bacteria; Bacillati; Actinomycetota; Actinomycetes; Propionibacteriales; Nocardioidaceae. The record is from RNAcentral.
GUGGGGAAUAUUGGACAAUGGGCGAAAGCCUGAUCCAGCAACGCCGCGUGAGGGAUGACGGCCUUCGGGUUGUAAACCUCUUUCAGCGCAGACGAAGCGAAAGUGACGGUAUGCGCAGAAGAAGCACCGGCCAACUACGUGCCAGCAGCCGCGGUAAUACGUAGGGUGCGAGCGUUGUCCGGAAUUAUUGGGCGUAAAGGGCUCGUAGGCGGUCUGUCACGUCAGGAGUGAAAACUCGGGGCUCAACCCCGAGCCUGCUUCUGAUACGGGCAGACUGGAGGUAUGCAGGGGAGAACGGAAUUCCUGGUGUAGCGGUGAAAUGCGCAGAUAUCAGGAGGAACACCGGUGGCGAAGGCGGUUCUCUGGGCAUUACCUGACGCUGAGGAGCGAAAGUGUGGGGAGCGAACAGG